CAUAUACUCCCUCUGUUCGGAAUUACUUGUCGUACAAAUGGUUGUGUCUAGACGUAUUUUAGUUCUAGAUACAUCCAUUUCCGAGACAAGUAAUUCCGAACGGAGGGAGUAUUAU
Molecule: non-coding RNA, 115 nt
Organism: Triticum aestivum (bread wheat)
Lineage: Eukaryota; Viridiplantae; Streptophyta; Magnoliopsida; Poales; Poaceae
Source: Rfam